CGGUAGUUCAGUCGGUUAGAAUACCGGCCUGUCACGCCGGGGGUCGCGGGUUCGAGUCCCGUCCG
This 65-nucleotide transfer RNA is filed under the name Pseudomonas sp. RNAcentral describes it as "tRNA-Asp". It matches the Rfam family "tRNA", at positions 5 to 66 of the family's 71-position model. From Rfam's summary of the family: Transfer RNA (tRNA) molecules are approximately 80 nucleotides in length. Their secondary structure includes four short double-helical elements and three loops (D, anti-codon, and T loops). The record is from RNAcentral. Lineage: Bacteria; Pseudomonadati; Pseudomonadota; Gammaproteobacteria; Pseudomonadales; Pseudomonadaceae. RNAcentral also lists the same sequence under 1 other name.